RNAcentral lists this ribosomal RNA (503 nucleotides) under uncultured bacterium. RNAcentral describes it as "partial 16S ribosomal RNA". It matches the Rfam family "Bacterial small subunit ribosomal RNA", at positions 30 to 523 of the family's 1533-position model. The record is from RNAcentral.
AUUGAACGCUGGCGGCAGGCUUAACACAUGCAAGUCGAGCGGGGUGAUGGUGCUUGCACUAUCACUUAGCGGCGGACGGGUGAGUAAUGCUUAGGAAUCUGCCUAUUAGUGGGGGACAACAUCUCGAAAGGGAUGCUAAUACCGCAUACGUCCUACGGGAGAAAGCAGGGGAUCACUUGUGACCUUGCGCUAAUAGAUGAGCCUAAGUCGGAUUAGCUAGUUGGUGGGGUAAAGGCCUACCAAGGCGACGAUCUGUAGCGGGUCUGAGAGGAUGAUGCGCCACACUGGGACUGAGACACGGCCCAGAGUCCUACGGGAGGCAGCAGUGGGGAAUAUUGGACAAUGGGGGGAACACUGAUCCAGCCAUGCCGCGUGUGUGAAGAAGGCCUUAUGGUUGUAAAGCACUUUAAGCGAGGAGGAGGCUACUUUAGUUAAUACCUAGAGAUAGUGGACGUUACUCGCAGAAUAAGCACCGGCUAACCCUGUGCCAGCCGCCGCCGUAA